AUUGAACGCUGGCGGCAUGCCUAACACAUGCAAGUCGAACGGAAACGAUGGAAGCUUGCUUCCAGGCGUCGAGUGGCGGACGGGUGAGUAAUACAUAGGAAUCUGCCCAGUAGUGGGGGACAACCUGGGGAAACUCAGGCUAAUACCGCAUACGCCCUUCGGGGGAAAGCGGGGGAUCUUCGGACCUCGCGCUAUUGGAUGAGCCUAUGUCUGAUUAGCUUGUUGGUGGGGUAACGGCCUACCAAGGCGACGAUCCGUAGCUGGUUUGAGAGGAUGAUCAGCCACACUGGGACUGAGACACGGCCCAGACUCCUACGGGAGGCAGCAGUGGGGAAUAUUGGACAAUGGGCGCAAGCCUGAUCCAGCAAUGCCGCGUGUGUGAAGAAGGCCUGCGGGUUGUAAAGCACUUUUAUCGGGAAAGAAAAGCUGAAGGUUAAUACCCUUUGGCCUUGACGGUACCCGAGGAAUAAGCACCGGCUAACUCCGUG
This 488-nucleotide ribosomal RNA is filed under the name uncultured Gammaproteobacteria bacterium. Its description in RNAcentral is "bacterial SSU rRNA". It matches the Rfam family "Bacterial small subunit ribosomal RNA", at positions 30 to 507 of the family's 1533-position model. Lineage: Bacteria; Pseudomonadati; Pseudomonadota; Gammaproteobacteria. The record is from RNAcentral.